This 123-nucleotide non-coding RNA is filed under the name Bacillus sp. CECT 9360. Its description in RNAcentral is "ylbH". It matches the Rfam family "ylbH leader". From Rfam's summary of the family: This family is a putative regulatory RNA structure that is found upstream of the ylbH gene in B. subtilis and related low GC Gram-positive bacteria. Lineage: Bacteria; Bacillati; Bacillota; Bacilli; Caryophanales; Bacillaceae. The record is from RNAcentral.
CAAAAAAAAGCCCCGCAGAUUAUUCUGCAGGGUCCUUCUACGUACCUUAAAUAAGGCUAGAAGGCAAAGGGAGAGGAGAAACCGGAGGAAGAACUUAUGGGGAAACGUAAGUCUUCUCCGCGG